RNAcentral lists this transfer RNA (71 nucleotides) under Cyanophora paradoxa. Its description in RNAcentral is "tRNA-Gly". It matches the Rfam family "tRNA". Rfam says of the family: Transfer RNA (tRNA) molecules are approximately 80 nucleotides in length. Their secondary structure includes four short double-helical elements and three loops (D, anti-codon, and T loops). Further hydrogen bonds mediate the characteristic L-shaped molecular structure. tRNAs have two regions of fundamental functional importance: the anti-codon, which is responsible for specific mRNA codon recognition, and the 3' end, to which the tRNAs corresponding amino acid is attached (by aminoacyl-tRNA synthetases). tRNAs cope with the degeneracy of the genetic code in two manners: having more than one tRNA (with a specific anti-codon) for a particular amino acid; and 'wobble' base-pairing, i.e. permitting non-standard base-pairing at the 3rd anti-codon position. The record is from RNAcentral. Lineage: Eukaryota; Glaucocystophyceae; Cyanophorales; Cyanophoraceae.
ACAGAUAUAAAUUAAUGGUAAAUUGAUUGCCUUCCAAGCAAUUUAUAUGGGUUCAAUUCCCAUUAUCUGUA